Labrus mixtus (cuckoo wrasse) is the source of this 1870-nucleotide long non-coding RNA. RefSeq lists it as uncharacterized. Lineage: Eukaryota; Metazoa; Chordata; Actinopteri; Labriformes; Labridae. The transcript has 2 exons. The record is from RefSeq and is a predicted model, not a curated record.
ACAGAUACUCUGCAAUCUGUUCAUGUUCUGAUUUUACCCUGGAGUAGAUAAGCUGAUAAAAAUCACUUGGUUAAUAUUUUUUUCACGGGUGCAUUUGUUUGUUUUUUGAAUGCUGCCACAGCUAGCUUGAUUAGAAAUGCCACUAGCAGAACUUGUCUUCACACAUUAGAUUGUGCAGGGAAAGUGUGGUGUAAGAAAUGAUUGAUGUUUGCACCAUAUUUAAUUUGACCUUGCUGUGUACUGCUGUGUAAAUGAUGACUACAUUAUCAUAAAUUACAAAAUAUUUGUAUCUAAAUACUGACUUUUAACAUGUUCAGCUGAGGAACAUGUUUUUCUGCUUUGAUGAAAAUCAUUUUCUGACGGUAUUGUUGAUAUUUUGAGAGUCUGGAACAUGAAAAAGAGAUAGUCAGCAGAUGUUUUUUAACGAAGUUGGUAAAAACAGGCUGUGAAACCUAACAUGUCAUCAUUGUUUGACAAAAAAACAAUGUAGAUCCGCAAGGGAAUAUCCCUCCACAGUCAUUGUUCUGUGCACGUAUAAUAUGCUAAAAACUAACUUUUGUAGCUCCAGUUAACUGUUAGCAAAAUACCCCAAAGAUGGUAUAUUCCUGGAUUCAUUGUUUGUUUGUUUUUUCAGUCUAAAUUCCUUGCUUGUUCAUUUUCUGAAAUGGUUUAUUCUGCUGGGACUUCAAUUAUUACUUAAAGAUUUUAAAUUGUGUCACUUGAUUUGUGUUGUUUUACCAGAUAAUUGUAUUCACAAGAAAAUACAGGGAUUUCUUCAGGCCAGUAUGGAGACAACAGGAAUCAUUCACAAAAACCUGUUUGAGUGUUAAUGUUGACCCCUGACGUGUUUUAUGACAGACUAGUAGUAAGAAAUUGCAAAAUACAUAAAUAAAUAAUAAUCAAAGUUAUUUUAUCAUGUUAAAGUAACUGUUUGAGUAACAGGAUGUAAAGUUUUAUCUGCAUAAACAGUUAGGAUGACAGAGUGAGACUGUGGGAGGAUACGAGGGGUUAGGGUAAAGUGAAAAUUCCAUUUUAUUACAGAUUCAAGAUCCAGAUAGUAUAUCAAAAUAAACGUAUCGGAAAAAAAGUUUUAUGAAGAGGUACUGUAUAAAAGUCUAAAAAAAAAAGUAAUUUCUCUCAUCAAAAUCAUAUCUGUUAAGCAUUGCUGUGACUGAUACCACACUCUAUCCUCUUUCACACAUGCACUGCAAUCCUGAAAACUUCCUGAGGUUGUCAGGGUGGGUUGCAAUGUGUGAACCAAACUCACUUAACCCAGAGUUUAAGGGCGCGACUUUUUCUAGUCAGGAGGAGGAGUCUUUCCCCACCACUGCAACUAAACCACAGGGGGCAUUUUGAAUUGUGAGGAUGAGUCUGAUAAACCCACUGGGACUCGUUUACCGGUAUCUUCCAAAGUUUUCUCUGAAAUUUGUUGUUAUGAAGAUCCUAAGAAAAGCCCGCAGCAGAUUCAUGAAGCUGUUCUCACACAGCUCAGUUGUUUGCACAGGUGUUCCUAAAUUGAAGAAUACCAUGUCCUCCUAAGAUCAAAUCUAAUGCCUGUUUUUCUGACUUAGCAUUAAAAAAGUAACUCCUAAUGCCCAUAUAAGGGCAUGAGACAGCAGGGAAAUGGUUAUAUGUAGAAGCCACACAAUAUUGAAAAGAAAGUAGUUAGAUGUUGGGACUUGGGAAUGAGUAAAUUAGAUUCAGUUCAGGUCAGUGCUUAGUUUGUAUUCACAAUGUAACAUUUUGCAGUUUAGACGGAACAUUUCAUGGUUAAAAUGAAAGUUUACUACAUGUAAAUCAUAUCUUUAUUAAUGUCAGUUAUGAUGACAAAGUUAAGAAAAACAGAAUAACCAAUGUCAGAAUAUUUUUG